GGAUCCAGACUUUGAUUCUGGCUCAGGAUGAACGCUAGCUACAGGCUUAACACAUGCAAGUCGAGGGGCAGCGGGAUUGAAGCUUGCUUCAAUUGCCGGCGACCGGCGCACGGGUGAGUAACGCGUAUCCAACCUUCCGUACACUCAGGGAUAGCCUUUCGAAAGAAAGAUUAAUACCUGAUGGUAUGAUGAGAUUGCAUGAUAGCAUCAUUAAAGAUUUAUCGGUGUACGAUGGGGAUGCGUUCCAUUAGGUAGUAGGCGGGGUAACGGCCCACCUAGCCGACGAUGGAUAGGGGUUCUGAGAGGAAGGUCCCCCACAUUGGAACUGAGACACGGUCCAAACUCCUACGGGAGGCAGCAGUGAGGAAUAUUGGUCAAUGGACGAGAGUCUGAACCAGCCAAGUAGCGUGAAGGAUGAAGGUCCUACGGAUUGUAAACUUCUUUUAUAAGGGAAUAAACCCUUCCACGUGUGGGAGCUUGUAUGUACCUUAUGAAUAAGCAUCGGCUAACUCCGUGCCAGCAGCCGCGGUAAUACGGAGGAUGCGAGCGUUAUCCGGAUUUAUUGGGUUUAAAGGGAGCGCAGACGGGUCGUUAAGUCAGCUGUGAAAGUUUGGGGCUCAACCUUAAAAUUGCAGUUGAUACUGGCGUCCUUGAGUGCGGUUGAGGUGUGCGGAAUUCGUGGUGUAGCGGUGAAAUGCUUAGAUAUCACGAAGAACUCCGAUUGCGAAGGCAGCACACUAAGCCGUAACUGACGUUCAUGCUCGAAAGUGUGGGUAUCAAACAGGAUUAGAUACCCUGGUAGUCCACACGGUAAACGAUGGAUACUCGCUGUUGGCGAUAUACUGUCAGCGGCUUAGCGAAAGCGUUAAGUAUCCCACCUGGGGAGUACGCCGGCAACGGUGCAACUCAAAGGAAUUGACGG
RNAcentral lists this ribosomal RNA (922 nucleotides) under uncultured Bacteroidota bacterium. RNAcentral describes it as "bacterial SSU rRNA". It matches the Rfam family "Bacterial small subunit ribosomal RNA", at positions 1 to 916 of the family's 1533-position model. Lineage: Bacteria; Pseudomonadati; Bacteroidota. The record is from RNAcentral.